This 490-nucleotide ribosomal RNA is filed under the name uncultured bacterium. RNAcentral describes it as "partial 16S ribosomal RNA". It matches the Rfam family "Bacterial small subunit ribosomal RNA", at positions 30 to 507 of the family's 1533-position model. The record is from RNAcentral.
AUUGAACGCUGGCGGCAUGCUUUACACAUGCAAGUCGGACGGCAGCACAGAGAAGCUUGCUUCUUGGGUGGCGAGUGGCGAACGGGUGAGUAAUAUAUCGGAACGUACCGAGUAAUGGGGGAUAACUAAUCGAAAGAUUAGCUAAUACCGCAUAUUCUCUGAGGAGGAAAGCAGGGGACCUUCGGGCCUUGCGUUAUUCGAGCGGCCGAUAUCUGAUUAGCUAGUUGGUGGGGUAAAGGCCUACCAAGGCGACGAUCAGUAGCGGGUCUGAGAGGAUGAUCCGCCACACUGGGACUGAAACACGGCCCAGACUCCUACGGGAGGCAGCAGUGGGGAAUUUUGGACAAUGGGCGCAAGCCUGAUCCAGCCAUGCCGCGUGUCUGAAGAAGGCCUUCGGGUUGUAAAGGACUUUUGUCAGGGAAGAAAAGGCUGUUGCUAAUAUCGACAGCUGAUGACGGUACCUGAAGAAUAAGCACCGGCUAACUACGUG